This 89-nucleotide transfer RNA is filed under the name Candidatus Nealsoniibacteriota bacterium. RNAcentral describes it as "Candidatus Nealsonbacteria bacterium tRNA-Leu". It matches the Rfam family "tRNA". Rfam says of the family: Transfer RNA (tRNA) molecules are approximately 80 nucleotides in length. Their secondary structure includes four short double-helical elements and three loops (D, anti-codon, and T loops). The record is from RNAcentral. Lineage: Bacteria; Candidatus Nealsoniibacteriota.
GCCGCGGUGGCGGAAUUGGUUUACGCGUAGCGCUUAAAACGCUAUGGGGAAUUAUCCCCGUGUGAGUUCGAGUCUCACCCGCGGCACCC